AUGAUGGUGGAGAUGGUGUCCCCACUCUUUGGAACCAUCUAUGAUGCUGUUGUCCUGCUGGCCCAUGCCCUGAACAGCUCUGAGAGCUGUGGGGCAGGAUUCUCAGGGACCCACUUAGGGGAACACACAGGGUCUCUGUAUGUGGCUGGCUUUAGCCAGAGGAUCCGGACAGAUGAGAAGGGCAGGAGGCUGGCUCCGUAUGUCAUUUUGGACACAGAUGGUCAGGGAAGCCAGCUGGUCCGCACUCACAUCCUGGACACAGGCACAUGGCAAGUGCAGCCCCUGGGCAGGGCCAUACACUUUCCAGGAGGAGCCCCUCCGGUGUGUGACUCCAGCUGCUGGUUUGACCCUAAUACUCUCUGCAUGAGAGGUAAGCAGCCCCCAGGCGGCCUCCUCGUUCUGGCCCUGACCUGUGUCUUGGUGCUGAUGGGGGGAGUGAUAUUUGCACCAUCCUCUCUGUCCUGCACUUUUCUCACCUCCAGAUUGAGCAUCCAGCAGCUGCAGCUCGUGCGGGGCCCCUACUGGAUCCUGCUGACAGCCCAGGAGCUCACCUUCAUCCACCGGCCCCUGAGCAGAUGGGGUCUUGACCAUGCCCUCUGGAGGCUGCGCAUGGACAGUGCAAGUGAAUCAAGAAGUGUCGCAGAUGGCGGGAGCCUGAGGUCAGUGGCCCAGGGGUCAGCAAGGAGCCUGCCAGCCCCCCAGGAGCCCACCAGUGUGGCUCUGUACCAGGGAGAGUGGGUGUGGCUGAAGAAAUUUGAAGCUGGCACAGCCCCUGAGCUGCGGCCAGGCUGCCUCAGCCUCCUGAGAAAGAUGCAGGAGCUUCAGCAUGAGAACAUUGCCACCUUCCUGGGCUUCUUGUGGCCCCUGGGGUCAGUGCUCUUGUGUUGGAGCACUGUGCCCGGGGCAGCCUGGAGGACCUGCUGCGGAAUGAGGCUCUGCGGCUGGACUGGACUUUCAAGGCCUCCUUGGUGCUGGAUAUGAUCCGUGGUGUGUGGUAUCUACACCAUCGGCAUUUCCCUCAUGGCUGCCUCAAGUCCCGAAACUGUGUGGUGGCUGGACGCUUUGUGCUAAAGGUCACUGACCAGGGUUAUGCAGAGCUCCUGGAUGCUCAGCGGGCUCCCCGCCCCCGGCCAGCCCCGGAAGUGCUGCUGUGGACAGCUCUGGAGCUGCUGCGGGGGCCCGGGGAACCCGGGCGGGGCACCCUCAAAGGAGACACCUUCAGAUCGGCAUCAUCCUGCAGGAGGUGCUGACUUGGGGCCCGCACUAUGGUUCCCCAGGGCUCUCAGCGCAAGAAAUCAUCAGGGAGGUGGUGUCUCCUCCUCCCCUGCGCCGGCCACUGGUGUCUCCCGACCACGGGCCGCCUGAGUGCAUCCAGCGGAUGGAGCUGUGCUGGGAGGAGGCCCCGGAGGACAGACCCAACCUGGAUCAGAUCUACACCCAGUUCAAAAGCAUCAACCCAGGCAAGAAGACCAGUGUUGCUGAUUCUAUGCUGCAGUUGCUGGAGAAGUAUUCCCAGAACCUGGAGGACCUGAUCCAGGAGUGGACUGAGGAGCUGGGGUUGGAGAGACAGAAGAUGGAAAGGUUGCUCUCUCAGUUGCUCCUGCCGUCUGUGGCUGAAGCUCUGAAAAUGGGGGCGACUGUGGAGCCAGAGCACUUUGACCAGGUUACCAUAUACUUCAGUGACACUGUAGGCUUUACCACCAUCUCAGCCCUGAGUGAGCCCAUUGAGGUGGUGGGCUUGCUCAAUGACCUCUACACACUCUUUGAUGCUGUUCUGGGCAACCAUGACGUGUAUAAGGUGGAGACCAUUGGGGAUGCCUAAAUGGUGGCAACAGGGCUGCCCCGGCGCAACAGGAGCCAGCAUGCAGCUGAGAUCACCAACCUGGCCUUGGACAUCUUCAGCUCUGUGAGCGACUUCCGGAUGAGGCAUGUGCCCACUGUGCCCAUUCGCAUCAGGGCUGGACUGCACUCGGGCCCUGAAUGGCGGGGGGUUGUGGGUCUCACCAUGCCUCAGUACUGCCUCUCUGGGGACACAGUUAACACCGCAUCCCGGAUGGAGUCUACAGGGAUAUAUGAGUCAUACAGAAUUCAUGUCUGCAUAAGCACCGCCCAGACACUGCUCAGCCUGGAUGAAGGCUACAAAAUUGAUAUCAGAGGCCAGACUGAGGUAAAGGGGAGGGGCUUCAAGGAGACCUACUGGCUGGUGGGGAAGGCGGGCUUCCCCAGACCCCUCCCCACACCUCUGGACAUCAAACCACGGUGCGGCGGCGCCGACAGCGGGGGAAAUCGGGGCCAGGCCCGGGGGAAAUCGGGGCCAGGCCGGAUUUCCUCUGCGGACCCGCGGCUGCUAGAGCCACCCGCCCCCCUGGACCCCGCGGGGCCACGAACUGCACGUGCGGCGGCCCGGCGCGGCCUGGCUGGCACAGCGCUUCCUUAG
Lipotes vexillifer (Yangtze River dolphin) is the source of this 2437-nucleotide non-coding RNA. The record is from RefSeq and is a predicted model, not a curated record. Lineage: Eukaryota; Metazoa; Chordata; Mammalia; Artiodactyla; Lipotidae.